GACAGAGGGUGCAAACGUUGUUCGGAAUUACUGGGCGUAAAGCGCGUGUAGGCGGCUAUGUAAGUCGGGCGUGAAAUCCCACGGCUCAACCGUGGAAGUGCACCCGAAACUGCGUAGCUAGAGUCCUGGAGAGGAAGGUGGAAUGCUUGGUGUAGAGGUGAAAUUCGUAGAUAUCAAGCGGAACACCGGUGGCGAAGGCGGCAUCCUGGACCGGUAUUGACGCUGAGGCGCGAAAGCGUGGGGAGCAAACAGG
Molecule: ribosomal RNA, 253 nt
Filed under: uncultured bacterium
Lineage: Bacteria
Description: partial 16S ribosomal RNA
Rfam family: Bacterial small subunit ribosomal RNA
Source: RNAcentral